This 429-nucleotide ribosomal RNA is filed under the name Chloroflexota bacterium. Its description in RNAcentral is "Chloroflexi bacterium partial 16S ribosomal RNA". It matches the Rfam family "Bacterial small subunit ribosomal RNA", at positions 355 to 776 of the family's 1533-position model. The record is from RNAcentral. Lineage: Bacteria; Bacillati; Chloroflexota.
UAGGGAAUCUUCGGCAAUGGACGAAAGUCUGACCGAGCAACGCCGCGUGAGUGAAGAAGGUUUUCGGAUCGUAAAACGCUGUUGUUAGAGAAGAACAAGGACGUUAGUAACUGAACGUCCCCUGACGGUAUCUAACCAGAAAGCCACGGCUAACUACGUGCCAGCAGCCGCGGUAAUACGUAGGUGGCAAGCGUUGUCCGGAUUUAUUGGGCGUAAAGCGAGAGCAGGCGGUUUCUUAAGUCUGAUGUGAAAGCCCCCGGCUCAACCGGGGAGGGUCAUUUGAAGCUGGGAGACUUGAGUGCAGAAGAGGAGAGUGGAAUUCCAUGUGUAGCGGUGAAAUGCGUAGAUAUAUAGAGGAACACCAGUGGCGAAGGCGGCGCUCUGGUCUGUAACUGACGCUGAGGCUCGAAAGCGUGGUGAGCAAACAGG